Non-coding RNA from Lactuca sativa (garden lettuce), 395 nucleotides. The record is from RefSeq and is a predicted model, not a curated record. NCBI's taxonomy places the organism in Eukaryota, Viridiplantae, Streptophyta, Magnoliopsida, Asterales, Asteraceae.
GUCAAGAUAAGAAUUGAAGAUGGUUUAUUAACCGGGCUUUGAAGUUUGAAUUAGUAUUCCUCCAGAUUCGGUCAAACCUGACUUUCAACCACUUGAAUUGGUCAAAAAAAUAAGCUAAAUUAACACAACUUCUAAGGUUGAUCUCUCUUCGUCUCACUCUAUAUAUCUACAAGAAACUCAGUUAUUGCCCUCACCACCUUCAACCCUAGCCAACACCAUGACCAACCACCGCUCCACCACCAACUGUCGUCGACAUCGUCACCAACCUUUUGCUCCACACACAAACGUUGAAGGUUGUAGUGUAUACGUGAAGUUAUUCUCGAGAUUAAGAAACGUUUUGAUUUAAUCAUAAUAGAAACGUCUAUAUUCUUUUAGCUACCAAAAAUAAAGACAUG